RNAcentral lists this ribosomal RNA (450 nucleotides) under uncultured bacterium. RNAcentral's name for it is "partial 16S ribosomal RNA". It matches the Rfam family "Bacterial small subunit ribosomal RNA", at positions 354 to 796 of the family's 1533-position model. The record is from RNAcentral.
GUGGGGAAUCUUCCACAAUGGACGAAAGUCUGAUGGAGCAACGCCGCGUGAGUGAAGAAGGGUUUCGGCUCGUAAAGCUCUGUUGUCGGGGACGAAUGUGCAGUAUUUGAAUAAAGUACUGUAAUGACGGUACCUGACGAGGAAGCCACGGCUAACUACGUGCCAGCAGCCGCGGUAAUACGUAGGUGGCAAGCGUUGUCCGGAAUUAUUGGGCGUAAAGGGAGCGCAGGCGGGAAGGUAAGUCGGUCUUAAAAGUGCGGGGCUCAACCCCGUGAUGGGAUCGAAACUAUCUUUCUUGAGUGCAGGAGAGGAAAGUGGAAUUCCUAGUGUAGCGGUGAAAUGCGUAGAUAUUAGGAGGAACACCAGUGGCGAAGGCGACUUUCUGGACUGUAACUGACGCUGAGGCUCGAAAGCCAGGGGAGCGAACGGGAUUAGAAACCCCUGUAGUCC